RNAcentral lists this ribosomal RNA (398 nucleotides) under uncultured bacterium. Its description in RNAcentral is "bacterial SSU rRNA". It matches the Rfam family "Bacterial small subunit ribosomal RNA", at positions 358 to 773 of the family's 1533-position model. The record is from RNAcentral.
GGAAUAUUGGACAAUGGGGGAAACCCUGAUCCAGCAAUGCCGCGUGAGUGAUGAAGGCCUUAGGGUUGUAAAGCUCUUUCGGCGGGGAAGAUGAUGACGGUACCCGCAGAAGAAGCCCCGGCUAACUUCGUGCCAGCCGCCGCGGUAAUACGAAGGGGGCUAGCGUUGUUCGGAAUUACUGGGCGUAAAGGGCUCGUAGGCGGCCGACUAAGUCAGACGUGAAAUCCCUCGGCUCAACCGGGGAACUGCGUCUGAUACUGGCCGGCUUGAAUCCGGGAGAGGGAUGCGGAAUUCCAGGUGUAGCGGUGAAAUGCGUAGAUAUCUGGAGGAACACCGGUGGCGAAGGCGGCAUCCUGGACCGGCAUUGACGCUGAGGAGCGAAAGCCAGGGGAGCAAAC